Molecule: ribosomal RNA, 254 nt
Filed under: uncultured bacterium
Lineage: Bacteria
Description: partial 16S ribosomal RNA
Rfam family: Bacterial small subunit ribosomal RNA
Source: RNAcentral
UACGAAGGGGGCUAGCGUUGUUCGGAAUCACUGGGCGUAAAGCGUACGCAGGCGGAUCGAUAAGUCAGGGGUGAAAUCCCGGGGCUCAACCUCGGAAUUGCCUUUGAUACUGUCGAUCUUCGAGUUCGGGAGAGGUUGGCGGAAUUCCUAGUGUAGAGGUGAAAUUCGUAGAUAUUAGGAAGAACACCAGUGGCGAAGGCGGCCAACUGGCCCGAUACUGACGCUCAUGUACGAAAGCGUGGGGAGCAAACAGG